RNAcentral lists this transfer RNA (74 nucleotides) under Streptomyces mutabilis. Lineage: Bacteria; Bacillati; Actinomycetota; Actinomycetes; Kitasatosporales; Streptomycetaceae. The record is from RNAcentral.
UGCCGUGGCUCGCCGAGCGCGGCAGCCGGGUGCACCUCACCGGGAUCGGCGGCGACCACGUCGCAUGGUGCUCG